GUAUUCAUGCCAACGGAGAAGCAUUUUUUUAGACGGCAAUGCGGACACCAAUUUCGUCUGGCUUUGUCAACAGUGCAAGAGCCAUCGCUAUCUAAAUAAUUACAGAUUCGAUUAUGUUAUAUGUAUAUCUAUUUUAUAUCUCAACCAAAUGUUCUUAUGAUAUGCAUACUAAGUGAUACUGACAAUGAGACACGCUGUAUAUUUUAUUACUUUUGUUAAAAACAUAUACAGACUUGUGCAGGUAAACAAGGCGCCGCGACGCACAGAUCUCUUGAAGAAACACGAGCAACCAUCGCAACAAUAAACACCGUAAUGUUUGCCGUAUGAUCGAUCACCGCACACUUUGCAAGACACCGGCGUGGGCAGAGUUCUUCCUAUCGCGAAAAAUAUUAUCAUUCAUCAGAUAGGAAUUUCAGGAAUACCGAGAUUUUACUUCGCAAAUUUUUCACAACUAUUUACAAUUGAUUUUCAUUAUAAAAACCUUACUUAUAUUUGACUCGUGCAUUUGUGCUAUCGAAAUACAAGAUGUUAUCUUUGAUUGAAUAUUUACCCAUUUUUUUUAUAUUUCACUGCAACAGAUUCGAGAACGCCAGAAUCGCAAAUCUGGCCUGAUUUCGACGGAAUGUAAGAGUCACGCGAUGAUCGCAACGAGCGAUCUAACAAUGAGCGAUCGUGCCCGAUCAGGCUCGCGAGCGAAGACAAACUCUUAUGGAACAACGUGUGGAAGACGCUCCCCUGUCCGAGGGAGGUUUAACUCGCAAUGGUGGUGGAAACGAACUUGGGGAUAGACGCGAGAAGACGACUUUAUUCAAUCCAUCGACGUCAUAUACGAUACGGAAAAGAAGAGACGUCCGCUUUAUUAUAAUUAUCCGAAAUUUAUUUGGAAGAAAAAGAAACGCUCUGAUAUAUUCAAUAGUCUACUCUGCAGAAUUCGGAAGGAAACGCAACUUUCCUCGUCUUAAGUGGAUAAAAUUAUUUAUUGCGCAUCGCAAAAGUAAGUUAUAGAGGAACUAUACACAAAGAUUCACAUUCUCUUGAUU
This is a long non-coding RNA of Formica exsecta, 1040 nucleotides long. RefSeq lists it as uncharacterized. NCBI's taxonomy places the organism in Eukaryota, Metazoa, Arthropoda, Insecta, Hymenoptera, Formicidae. The transcript is spliced from 3 exons. The record is from RefSeq and is a predicted model, not a curated record.